RNAcentral lists this ribosomal RNA (170 nucleotides) under uncultured Microbispora sp. RNAcentral describes it as "partial 16S ribosomal RNA". It matches the Rfam family "Bacterial small subunit ribosomal RNA", at positions 338 to 524 of the family's 1533-position model. The record is from RNAcentral. Lineage: Bacteria; Bacillati; Actinomycetota; Actinomycetes; Streptosporangiales; Streptosporangiaceae.
CCUACGGGAGGCAGCAGUGGGGAAUAUUGCGCAAUGGGCGAAAGCCUGACGCAGCGACGCCGCGUGGGGGAUGACGGCCUUCGGGUUGUAAACCUCUUUCAGCAGGGACGAAGUUGACGUGUACCUGUAGAAGAAGCGCCGGCUAACUACGUGCCAGCAGCCGCGGUAAU